RNAcentral lists this transfer RNA (73 nucleotides) under Sus scrofa (pig). It matches the Rfam family "tRNA". From Rfam's summary of the family: Transfer RNA (tRNA) molecules are approximately 80 nucleotides in length. Their secondary structure includes four short double-helical elements and three loops (D, anti-codon, and T loops). Lineage: Eukaryota; Metazoa; Chordata; Mammalia; Artiodactyla; Suidae. The record is from Rfam by way of RNAcentral.
UCCCUGGUGGUCUAGUGGUUAGGACUUGGCACUUUCACCGCCCAAGGCCGGGGUUCAAUCCCUGGUCUGGGAA